RNAcentral lists this ribosomal RNA (253 nucleotides) under uncultured bacterium. Its description in RNAcentral is "partial 16S ribosomal RNA". It matches the Rfam family "Bacterial small subunit ribosomal RNA", at positions 524 to 776 of the family's 1533-position model. The record is from RNAcentral.
UACGUAGGGGGCAAGCGUUGUCCGGAAUCAUUGGGCGUAAAGCGCGUGUAGGCGGCCCGAUAAGUCCGCUGUGAAAGUCCAGGGCUCAACCCUGGAAUGCCGGUGGAUACUGUCGGGCUCGAGUCCGGAAGAGGCGAGUGGAAUUCCUGGUGUAGCGGUGAAAUGCGCAGAUAUCAGGAGGAACACCAAUUGCGAAGGCAGCUCGCUGGGACGUAACUGACGCUGAGACGCGAAAGCGUGGGGAGCAAACAGG